Molecule: ribosomal RNA, 456 nt
Filed under: uncultured bacterium
Lineage: Bacteria
Description: bacterial SSU rRNA
Rfam family: Bacterial small subunit ribosomal RNA
Source: RNAcentral
GACGAACGCUGGCGGCGUGCUUAAUGAAUGCGAGUCGAGCGGGAACUGGAUUCAAGAGGCCUUCGGGUUAGUUGAGCCCAGGGAGAGCGGCAAACGGGUGAGUAACACGUGGGUAACGUGCCCUGCAGAUGGGAAUAACAGACGGAAACGUCUGCUAAUACCCAAUGGUCAGAGGAAGUCACAUGGCUACCUCUGUAAAGCUCCGGCGCUGCAGGAUCGACCCGCGGUGGAUUAGCUUGUUGGUGAGGUAACGGCUCACCAAGGCGACGAUCCAUAGCCGGUCUGAGAGGAUGGCCGGCCACACUGGGACUGCGACAUGGUCCAGACUCCUACGGGAGUUAGCAUCAGGGAAUCUUGCACAAUGAGCGAAAGCUUGAUGCAGCGACGCCGCGUGAGGGAUGAAGGCCUGCGGGUCGUAAACCUCUGUCAGGAGGGACGAAACCACCCUUGUGGUGC